GGGGUUGUGGCUCAGCAGGAGAGCAUUCGCCUAGCAUGUGCAAGGCCCUGGGUUCGAUUCUCAGCACCACA
Molecule: transfer RNA, 71 nt
Filed under: Marmota monax (woodchuck)
Lineage: Eukaryota; Metazoa; Chordata; Mammalia; Rodentia; Sciuridae
Description: tRNA.Ala
Rfam family: tRNA
About the family: Transfer RNA (tRNA) molecules are approximately 80 nucleotides in length. Their secondary structure includes four short double-helical elements and three loops (D, anti-codon, and T loops). Further hydrogen bonds mediate the characteristic L-shaped molecular structure. tRNAs have two regions of fundamental functional importance: the anti-codon, which is responsible for specific mRNA codon recognition, and the 3' end, to which the tRNAs corresponding amino acid is attached (by aminoacyl-tRNA synthetases). tRNAs cope with the degeneracy of the genetic code in two manners: having more than one tRNA (with a specific anti-codon) for a particular amino acid; and 'wobble' base-pairing, i.e. permitting non-standard base-pairing at the 3rd anti-codon position.
Source: RNAcentral